This 434-nucleotide ribosomal RNA is filed under the name uncultured soil bacterium. RNAcentral describes it as "bacterial SSU rRNA". It matches the Rfam family "Bacterial small subunit ribosomal RNA", at positions 26 to 484 of the family's 1533-position model. The record is from RNAcentral.
AGAACGAACGCUGGCGGCGUGCCUAAUACAUGCAAGUCGAACGAACACUUCGGUGUUAGUGGCGCACGGGUGCGUAACGCGUGGGAAUCUGCCCUUGGGUUCGGAAUAACAGUUGGAAACGACUGCUAAUACCGGAUGAUGACGAAAGUCCAAAGAUUUAUCGCCCAGGGAUGAGCCCGCGUAGGAUUAGCUAGUUGGUGAGGUAAAGGCUCACCAAGGCGACGAUCCUUAGCUGGUCUGAGAGGAUGAUCAGCCACACUGGGACUGAGACACCGGCCCAGACCUCCGUACGGGAGGCAGCGAAGGUAGGGAAUAGUUGGAACAAGUGGGCGCAAGGCUGACUCAGCAAGUGCCGCGUGAGUGAGUAGGAAGGUCCGUUAGGGUUAGUAAACGUCUUACCUUUACCCGAGAUGAAUAAUAGACAGUACGUGGAA